CGCGUAGGCGGUCGGUCAAGUCGGUUGUGAAAGCCCUCGGCUCAACCGAGGAAUUGCAUCCGAUAACUGGUCGGCUAGAGUAUGGAAGGGGAGAGUGGAACUCCUGGUGGAGCGGUGAAAUGCGUAGAUAUCAGGAGGAACGCCGGUGGCGAAAGCGACUCUCUGGUCCACAACUGACGCUGAGGCGCGAAAGCCAGGGGAGCAAACG
Molecule: ribosomal RNA, 208 nt
Filed under: uncultured bacterium
Lineage: Bacteria
Description: partial 16S ribosomal RNA
Rfam family: Bacterial small subunit ribosomal RNA
Source: RNAcentral